RNAcentral lists this long non-coding RNA (1020 nucleotides) under Macaca fascicularis (crab-eating macaque). RNAcentral's name for it is "lncRNA (ENSMFAG00000063190.1)". The record is from RNAcentral. Lineage: Eukaryota; Metazoa; Chordata; Mammalia; Primates; Cercopithecidae.
CUCUGUCCCCCGUGGGUUGGGGCAGCUGAGCUGCAGGGGGAGCUGCAUUCUUCCAUCCCCAGGAUGGGGAGGAGGUGGGUGUGCCCUUGGGGCAGAAGAGGCUUGUGGAGAAGGCCGUGAGGAUGGAACUCACUGUUGCUGGUUUUGCAGGAACUCUACACCCUCGAGAGAAGCAGGGCAGGAGGCGAGAGGCACAUGCACACUUAGGGUGCUGCCCUCCAUGGAUCUGUUCUCCCAGAGGAAGGCCCAGCCUCCCACCCUCUACUCAGGCCUGGCAUCAGUGCUCCACGGGCCACAUAAGCAUGUACAGAUCUGCGUUUCCUCAAGAACCCUCCUGCCAUGGCCGGAGUCCCCAUUCCUAUCACCCCGGCCCUGCUGCAGCCUGAGGCCUGAACGCCAGCUUGUGGGAGCAGCUGCAGGCGCGGUAAGCCCAUGUUUUCCAGGCUUACCACAAUGAUGCUGUGUGUAACGUACUUGGACUUCCAGGUUCACACUGCUGCCCGCUGCAGAAGGGGCCAGGGAGAGAGGGCAUCCCCCCCUCCCCGCUACUGCUUUUUGGAGACCAGCUGAGCAGUUUGUAUCAAAAGUAUUAUAAAUGUAAAUACUUUUCAUCCCAGUGUAUCCGCUUUUAAGAAUUUACCCUGGAGAGACUGUCAUGGAUUUGCAUAAAAAUAUACUAGAAGGCAGUCGCGUCAGCUAUCUCUAUAAGAGUAAAACAGGAGGAGUCAUUUAAAUGACACAUCCAUAAGACGGAUGGCUGCAGCCAUCAUAACUCAGGCUGUGGACAAAUGCAUGUGACGUGAGAAAACUUUAAAAUAUGAUAUAAUAAAGUGAAAAGUGCAAUCUCAAAAUCAUCUGCAAUUAAGUUUUCAACAUAGGUAUAUGUUGCCUGAGUGUGUGCUCGAUCAAAGGCAUUUCAAAAAAAAAAAAACCGGAAGAGGCUUAGAUAACGUUAGCAGUUGUCAGUAGGAAGUGAAAACGCAAGAGGCUUUUGUAUCUUUUGGCUGCCCCCUGUGUUUU